RNAcentral lists this transfer RNA (69 nucleotides) under Marmota monax (woodchuck). Its description in RNAcentral is "tRNA.Thr". The record is from RNAcentral. Lineage: Eukaryota; Metazoa; Chordata; Mammalia; Rodentia; Sciuridae.
GGGGUUGUGGCUCAGGGGUAGAGUGCUCAUCUAGUGUGCGAGGUGCUGGGUUCAAACCUCAGCACCACA